GCCGCCGUAGCUCAGCAGGAUAGAGCGGCCGCCUCCUAAGCGGCAGGCCGGAGGUUCGAAUCCUCUCGGCGGCGCCA
This 77-nucleotide transfer RNA is filed under the name Oscillospiraceae bacterium. Its description in RNAcentral is "tRNA-Arg". It matches the Rfam family "tRNA". Rfam says of the family: Transfer RNA (tRNA) molecules are approximately 80 nucleotides in length. Their secondary structure includes four short double-helical elements and three loops (D, anti-codon, and T loops). Further hydrogen bonds mediate the characteristic L-shaped molecular structure. tRNAs have two regions of fundamental functional importance: the anti-codon, which is responsible for specific mRNA codon recognition, and the 3' end, to which the tRNAs corresponding amino acid is attached (by aminoacyl-tRNA synthetases). tRNAs cope with the degeneracy of the genetic code in two manners: having more than one tRNA (with a specific anti-codon) for a particular amino acid; and 'wobble' base-pairing, i.e. permitting non-standard base-pairing at the 3rd anti-codon position. Lineage: Bacteria; Bacillati; Bacillota; Clostridia; Eubacteriales; Oscillospiraceae. The record is from RNAcentral.